This 237-nucleotide unclassified non-coding RNA is filed under the name Pseudeurotium bakeri. RNAcentral describes it as "partial internal transcribed spacer region". The stretch from base 1 to 46 matches the Rfam family "Eukaryotic small subunit ribosomal RNA", at positions 1786 to 1831 of the family's 1831-position model. Lineage: Eukaryota; Fungi; Ascomycota; Leotiomycetes; Thelebolales; Pseudeurotiaceae. RNAcentral also lists the same sequence under 4 other names. The record is from RNAcentral.
AAGUCGUAACAAGGUUUCCGUAGGUGAACCUGCGGAAGGAUCAUUAAAGAGACGUUGCCCUUCGGGGUAUACCUCCCACCCUUUGUUUAUUAUACCUUUGUUGCUUUGGCGGGCCCGUCCUCGGACCACCGGCUUCGGCUGGUCAGUGCCCGCCAGAGGACCUAAAACUCUGUUUGUUCAUAUUGUCUGAGUACUAUAUAAUAGUUAAAACUUUCAACAACGGAUCUCUUGGUUCUG